This 89-nucleotide transfer RNA is filed under the name Chlorobiota bacterium. Its description in RNAcentral is "tRNA-Leu". It matches the Rfam family "tRNA". Rfam says of the family: Transfer RNA (tRNA) molecules are approximately 80 nucleotides in length. Their secondary structure includes four short double-helical elements and three loops (D, anti-codon, and T loops). Further hydrogen bonds mediate the characteristic L-shaped molecular structure. tRNAs have two regions of fundamental functional importance: the anti-codon, which is responsible for specific mRNA codon recognition, and the 3' end, to which the tRNAs corresponding amino acid is attached (by aminoacyl-tRNA synthetases). tRNAs cope with the degeneracy of the genetic code in two manners: having more than one tRNA (with a specific anti-codon) for a particular amino acid; and 'wobble' base-pairing, i.e. permitting non-standard base-pairing at the 3rd anti-codon position. Lineage: Bacteria; Pseudomonadati; Chlorobiota. The record is from RNAcentral.
GCCGAAGUGAAGUGGCGGAAUUGGUAGACGCGCUUGACUCAAAAUCAAGUAUUCGCAAGGAUGUGCCGGUUCGAGUCCGGCCUUCGGUA